UACGUAGGUCCCGAGCGUUGUCCGGAUUUAUUGGGCGUAAAGCGAGCGCAGGUGGUUUAUUAAGUCUGGUGUAAAAGGCAGUGGCUCAACCAUUGUAUGCAUUGGAAACUGGUAGACUUGAGUGCAGGAGAGGAGAGUGGAAUUCCAUGUGUAGCGGUGAAAUGCAUAGAUAUCACGCAGAACUCCGAUUGCGAAGGCAGCAUACCGGCGCCCGACUGACGCUGAGGCACGAAAGCGUGGGUAUCGAACAGG
This 252-nucleotide ribosomal RNA is filed under the name uncultured bacterium. RNAcentral describes it as "partial 16S ribosomal RNA". It matches the Rfam family "Bacterial small subunit ribosomal RNA", at positions 524 to 776 of the family's 1533-position model. The record is from RNAcentral.